AGUGAACGCUGGCGGUAUGCCUAACACAUGCAAGUCGAACGGCAGCACAGUAAGAGUUUGCUCUUACGGUUGGCGAGUGGCGGACGGGUGAGGCAUACAUCGGAAUCUACUUUUUCUUGGGGGAUUACGUAGGGAAACUUACGCUAAUACCGCAUACGACCUACGGGUUAAAGCAGUGGUUCUUCGCACCUUGCGUGAUUGAAUGAGCUGAUGUCGGAUUAGCUAGUUGGCAGGGUAAAGGCACACCAAGGCGACGAUCCGUAGCUGAUCUGAGAGGAUGAUCAGCCACACUGGAACUGAGACACGGUCCAGACUCCUACGGGAGGCAGCAGUAGGGAAUCUUCGACAAUGGGCGCAAGCCUGAUCCAGCAAUGCCGCGUGGGUGAAGAAGGUCUUCGGAUUGUAAAGCCCUUUUGUUGGGGAAGAAAAGCUGCAGAUUAAUCCAUGGCUGUUCUGACGGUACCCAAAGAGAAAGCACCGGCUAACUUCGUG
RNAcentral lists this ribosomal RNA (492 nucleotides) under uncultured bacterium. RNAcentral's name for it is "partial 16S ribosomal RNA". It matches the Rfam family "Bacterial small subunit ribosomal RNA", at positions 29 to 507 of the family's 1533-position model. The record is from RNAcentral.